ACUAUAUAGGGCUGGGAAUUAUACUACUACUAUACUAUAUAGGGCUGGGAGUUAUACUACUACUAUACUAUAUAGGGCUGGGAAUUAUACUAUUAUACUAUACUAUAUAGGGCUGGGAGUUAUACUACUAUACUAUAUACUGGUACUGUAUAUAUAUAUAUAUAUAUAUAUAUAUAAAGUAUCUGAACACAUACAGCGUAUUCGGAAAGUAUUCAGACACCUACACUUUUUCCACAUUUUGUGACGUUACAGCUUUAUUCUAAAAUUGACUUUUUUCCCCACCAAUCUACCCACAAUACCCCAUAAGGACAAAGUGAAAACAGGUUUUUGAAAAAUUGUAAAGACCGGAUGCGCAGUUUAGUAGGAGUGUAGCUUUCAGAUAGUUGUUUUUACCCACCAGAGAGAGUAAAUGUCAUUCUGGUAAUCUGUCCUGUUGUAUAGUUAUUGCAUGUUAAGGUUGAAUUAAAAAAUUUUUUAGCACCAAUUAGGUUUACAGAAGUGUAUGAGCUCUCUAAAAGCCUAUGUAAAUCCAAUUCCUGGCAUACAAUAAAGUGGCAUACGUUAUAAUAAAUUUAAUAAUAUUUAAUCUUAAUAUUACAAAAUAAUGUGCAGCAUAUACAUUUAACAUGAUGAACAAGAAUGACAUUUACACUCACGGGUGGCCAAUUAGAUCUAGUUGAAAGCCAUUUCCAUAAUAAGCUACGCCUCCUGAAAAUAACCUAAGGAUUACAUUAAAAAAGACCCAGCUGCUAAGUCAACCCAGCAUGAGAGUAUAAAAUACCCGACUGAUGGUUAAAUUAACCAAUGUUUUUGGUAAUGCUAACAACCAAACUUGUUGGGUUAUUCUGGCAACCUAACUGGCUGAGUCAAAAUAACCCAGCAUGUGUUCUUUCCAGUAUUUAAUCAACUCUGGGUUACCAAAGGACACAAAUUGGGUUGUUUUUAACCCAGCAUUUUUGAGAGUGUGGUUGCAUGUAUUUCCCUCUCGAUAUUCUAAUGAGAAUACCAGUAUGUCUUACAGUGUUCUGCCUUCAAAGAAGAGAUGAGGGGUGUGUGUUUAUGUGUGUAUUUAUGUGAGAGAGAGAGAGAGAGAGAGUGAGAGAGAGAAAAAUAGAGAUUCCCUCUCUGUAUUCUUUGACUAUAGUAAUUGCCUAGGUCUGCAGGCUAGUGAGAGAAGAGACUGUCCUGUAGGGGAGGAGAGAGGAAGAGGAGGAUGAGAGGAGAGAAGAAGAUGGUAUCUCCAGGAAAAUCAUUAAGGCAGCAUGUUUUGGCUUGUAGCCAAUGUGAGGCAGAUGCAGAUAGAACCUAGUAGUCGAUGAACCAGGCAGAGAAAGGUAGAACCUAGUAGUCGAUGGACCAGGGAGAGACAGGUAGAACCUCGAAGUCGAUGAACCAGGGAGAGACAGGUAGAACAACGUAGUCAAUGAACCAGGGAGAGAAAGGUAGAACCUCGUAGUCGAUGAACCAGGGAGAGAAAGGUAGAACCUCGUAGUCGAUGAACCAGGAAGAGAAAGGUAGAACCUUGUAGUCGAUGAACCAGGAAGAGAAAGGUAGAACCUUGUAGUCGAUGAACCAGGGAGAGAAAGGUAGAACCUCGUAGUCGAUGAACCAGGGAGAGACAGGUAGAACAACG
RNAcentral lists this long non-coding RNA (1633 nucleotides) under Salmo salar (Atlantic salmon). RNAcentral describes it as "lncRNA (ENSSSAG00000110417.1)". The record is from RNAcentral. Lineage: Eukaryota; Metazoa; Chordata; Actinopteri; Salmoniformes; Salmonidae.